Molecule: ribosomal RNA, 342 nt
Filed under: uncultured marine organism
Description: bacterial SSU rRNA
Rfam family: Bacterial small subunit ribosomal RNA
Source: RNAcentral
GGAUGAGGCCUCUGGGCUGUAACCUCUUUUAUCAAGGAAGAAGAUCUGACGGUACUUGAUGAAUAAGCCACGGCUAAUUCCGUGCCAGCAGCCGCGGUAAUACGGGAGUGGCAAGCGUUAUCCGGAAUUAUUGGGCGUAAAGCGUCCGCAGGCGGCCCUUCAAGUCUGCUGUUAAAAAGUGGAGCUUAACUCCAUCAUGGCAGUGGAAACUGUUGGGCUUGAGUGUGGUAGGGGCAGAGGGAAUUCCCGGUGUAGCGGUGAAAUGCGUAGAUAUCGGGAAGAACACCAGUGGCGAAGGCGCUCUGCUGGGCCAUCACUGACGCUCAUGGACGAAAGCCAGGG